RNAcentral lists this ribosomal RNA (252 nucleotides) under uncultured bacterium. RNAcentral's name for it is "partial 16S ribosomal RNA". It matches the Rfam family "Bacterial small subunit ribosomal RNA", at positions 524 to 776 of the family's 1533-position model. The record is from RNAcentral.
UACAGAGGGUGCGAGCGUUGUCCGGAAUCACUGGGCGUAAAGGGCGCGUAGGCGGCCUGAUAAGUAGGGGGUGAAAUCCUGUGGCUCAACUGCAGGGCUGCCUCCUAGACUGUCGGGCUUGAGCACGGUAGAGGCAGAUGGAAUUCCCGGUGUAGCGGUGGAAUGCGUAGAGAUCGGGAGGACACCAGCGGCGAAGGCGGCGACCUGGGUGGAUACUGACGCUGAGGUGCGAAAGCGUGGGGAGCAAACAGG